GGGUCAGUAGGUUGGUCGUGCCACCGGUACGUACUGGUCUCACUGAUUCCUCCUUCCUGAGGAACCGUAAUGCCAUUAAUUUGGUGUUGCGGGGAAACAGGACUGUUACUUUGAAAAAAUUAGAGUGUUUAAAGCAAGCUAACGCUUGAAUACGUUAGCAUGGAAUAAUGAAAUAGGACGAUCGAUCCUAUUUUGUUGGUUUCUAGGAUUGACGUA
This 216-nucleotide ribosomal RNA is filed under the name Glomeromycotina sp. RNAcentral describes it as "partial small subunit ribosomal RNA". The stretch from base 40 to 216 matches the Rfam family "Eukaryotic small subunit ribosomal RNA", at positions 686 to 864 of the family's 1831-position model. The record is from RNAcentral. Lineage: Eukaryota; Fungi; Glomeromycota.